GUUUAACAAAAAUAGAAUACACAGUUAUAAGUGAAUCAGAAUUUAUUUCAAUCUCACGAAGGAGUUUCGGGGAUUACACGGUUCUCAUAAUGUAUCACCUUGCUGUGCAAAGGCUGCUUCCUGCUGCAGGGCGGUGUAGGGAAAGCUGCUUUUAUUCAUACGAGGAGACUUUUGCAUCAGCAAAUGAACGAUAUUACAGCUCUUAUGCGUUAGCCUUUCGGUAGCUUGACACGGGAAAGAAGGAAUUAGAGCAGUGUGUUAAAGGACGAGGUCUGCUUUCUUGCAUCUCAAGCGGUGGUAGAUUUGCAGAAUAGGCCUGCGAAGCAAUGUGCAGAGCACGAUGUUCAUUUUCAUAUGUCAGUAUGCGUCUGCACUGGAGACUGUCUUUCAGGAUCAUUUAGAUGAAAAGAUUAUAGUCAGAGCUCUUCCUUCAAAAACACACGCUAAAAAUAGUGGCAGGUACAAGAGGGUUUUUCUUCAAAGGACACGGUUAGAGAUUGCCAGAGCGGUGAACAAAGCCGGUUCUCUUGAGACAAGGAGAUACGGCAUCCUCAUUUCUCAACACAGUGCAUAUUUAUGGAACAGCAACAUCAGAAGGCACUGUGGAAUUAGAACUCUGACCUCUGGCUUUAGGAGAAGGCUGGUCCUGCAGUAAGUAAGCCUGGUGCUGGUGGUUUCCGCAAGCUUAUAAACAAUGCUCCACAUCUUAACCUCCUUCCCUCUGUCCCUUGCAAAUAUAUGCCAUGGAUAUAUACGUGACAUGUCACCAAGCUAUUUUAAGUCUUUCGUGACACCAGCAGAGAGGAGGAGGAGGAAGUUUGAGCAAAUGUGGGGGUGUAUUUUAUUCAAAUUCAGUUUACAUAGCUCCCGUGAGAAUGACAUGCUGCCGUGAAGAAUGGACAACUCAGAACACCACUCCGAAGCCCUGGGAAAAAAGUUCAUCUCUACAUUUGACUCCAUGGUCCUGUACUGGUGAAUGUGGCACCACUGGAGCGGUACUGCAGGAACCAUUGCUUUCCCAGAGCAGAUCACAAAAAGGUCUGCAGUGGUUCUUCUGAAGCAGUUUUUUAUGAAGGAGCAUUUGUAUGGACACCCGUGUUUUAGAUAAGAAACUGUGUGGUGAACACCACUGGAUAGUUAACACGAAAAUGAUUCAUUCCCACAGCACUGGCAAGUGCAGAGAUUUCCAAGCCCAGGCCCAAGCACGGAGGUUUUUUAAGCCUUAUUGAAGAGAGUGGGAAGUCUGUUAGAGUAAAAGGAAAGGCUCAUUCACCAAAUCUGGAUUGAGAAGGCGACCAAGGAUUGAUAUUUAAUAUCAGAUAAGCUGCAGAACUGGCCCGGAGGGUUAGUGCUAUCAUCUGAGUUCUGAGUGUUGGUUUCAAGAUUUCAUGGGGCUGGUAAAGGACUUCGUCCAUCACGUUCCUCAAAGGCUCAGAAAGCCCAUCCCACCACUGUGCCGCAGCCAAAGGAGCAGCACAGAUAGGCUCCAUAGGGAGUCUCCUCCUGACCAUCACAGCCUGGGUAGAUUGCUGUAAAGGGAAGCCUUUGGGAAAAACAAGCCUUUUCCAGCCAGAUGGAACCUAUCAAACGGCAACGAGUUUGGCUGUUCCACUGUGUCCUACUGGAAACCUGAAAGCCAAGAAGAUCCGUUUCCCAUGCGCAGCCCAUCUGCCUUUCUGAGGAGCUCUAGAGCAUGAAUGCAGGCUGCAGCCUGUAAGAUGCUUUGGGGUUUAUUGACCUUAAAGAAAUCCCACUGACUUCAGCUGCGAUGCCAAAUUAGUGCUGUACUCUCAAAACCUUUUGCAGAUCUAUCUCUGCGUUCCUGAGAUGGUAGCCUGGUCUAAAGGUUGUAAGACGUGUGUGUCAAAAGUGAAGUGUUUUGUAGGGCAUCUAGCAGCACUAACGGUGUGAUUGAGUGUCUUUCUCUAUCACUGCAUGCUUAUUUAUGAAAGAGACAAUAUUUAGCUACAUCAGAGAGUGGGUUUGUAAAACCGACCAUAUUCAUCAUAGAAUCAUUAAGGUUGGAAAAGACCAGUAAGGUCAUCUAGUCCAACCAUUAAGUUAGAGAGUGGUUUGGUGAGGAUGAUAAAAUAUCCAUAAGCACUGCAGAAUCUUUAAAAAGAAAGCUUGUUCUUUUCCUGAUUAAGCUGCAUAUUCACAGCUUUUUUAAUCCAAAAAAGCUAUCAAUUCUGUACUACAGAUGUCAGAGCUUUAAUACAAGGGAAGGCCGAGUUUCCCUUCUGUGAUAGUUUGUUCGUAGGUG
Gallus gallus (chicken) is the source of this 2263-nucleotide long non-coding RNA. The record is from Ensembl. NCBI's taxonomy places the organism in Eukaryota, Metazoa, Chordata, Aves, Galliformes, Phasianidae.